Molecule: ribosomal RNA, 375 nt
Filed under: uncultured organism
Description: partial 16S ribosomal RNA
Rfam family: Bacterial small subunit ribosomal RNA
Source: RNAcentral
GUAGGUGGCAAGCGUUGUCCGGAGUUAGUUGGGCGUAAAGCGCGCGCAGGCGGUUUCUUUAAGUCUGAUGUGAAACGCCCACGGCUCAACCGUGGAGGGUCAUUGGAAACUGGAGAACUUGAGUACAGAAGAGGAAAGCGGAAUUCCACGUGUAGCGGUGAAAUGCGUAGAGAUGUGGAGGAACACCAGUGGCGAAGGCGGCUUUCUGGUCUGUAACUGACGCUGAGGCGCGAAAGCGUGGGGGAGCAAACAGGAUUAGAUACCCUGGUAGUCCACGCCGUAAACGAUGAGUGCUAAGUGUUAGGGGGUUUCCGCCCCUUAGUGCUGCAGCUAACGCAUUAAGCACUCCGCCCUGGGAGUACGGCCGCAAGGCUG